Molecule: long non-coding RNA, 3175 nt
Organism: Dermochelys coriacea (leatherback sea turtle)
Lineage: Eukaryota; Metazoa; Chordata; Testudines; Dermochelyidae
Exons: 4
Source: RefSeq, a predicted model, not a curated record
GGGGAUUGGGGCAUGGGGAGAGGCUCAGGGGUGCAGGCUCCAGGCAGCACUUACCUCAAGCGGGUCCCAGAAGUAGUGGCAUGUUUCCCUCUGGCUCCUACACGGAGGCGCAACCAGGCAUCUCUGCUGCAUGCUGCCCUGUCCAUAGGCACCGCCCCUGCAGCUCCCAUUGGCUGCGGUUUCUGGUCAGUGGGAACUGCGGGGGCAGCGCUUGGGACAGGGGCAGCAAGUGGAGCAGAGCUCUCUGGCUGCCCCAUGCAUAGGAGCCGGAGGGGGGACAUGACGUUGCUUCCGUGAGCCUCAUGGAGUGGCCCCCAAUCCUGCUUCCCAGCUGGAGCACCGGAGCAGGGUAAGCCCCAGAUCCUGCUCCCCAGUGGGAACUUGAGGGCCAGAUUAAAAUGGCUGGUGGGUCGGAUGCAGACCCUGGGCUAUAGUUUGCUCACCCGUGCUCUAGGCCCACAGACCACUACUAUGGCUGACACUUAAAGUGCUGUUUCAAAGCUUCCUUCAACUUCAUGUUUCUAUUGUGGGGUCUUGUAACGAACCAGGAGUCUGGCUGUUCAAAGUCAGUCAACAGCUGCUUUGCAUCUGCCCUCCACACUGGUGGCAGCUUUUCCCCCUUGGCCUCAUAGAUAUUAUGCAGGACACAAGAGGCAGCAAUAACCAUUGGGAUAUUUUUCUGACCUGAGCUCUGAACUUGUGAGUAGAUACUGCCAACAUCCCUUCAAUCUACCAAAAGCACAUUCAACUGUCAUUCUGCACCUACUGAGCUCGUAACUGAAUCUUUCCUUGGUGCUGUCCAGGUAGCCAGUGUAUAGCUUCAUGAGCAAGGGGUAGGUUGGAUCCUCUAGCAUCUUUAUUGGCAUUUCAAUAUCACUAGUGGUAAUUCACUGGCCAGGAAAGAAUGUCCCUACUUUCAGAUUUCUGAACAGCCAUGUAUUCUUAAAGAUAUAGGUGUCAUGCAUCUUCCCUGACCAACCAACACUGAUGUUGAUGAAGCAUCCCCAGUGAUUCACCUACACAUGCAAAACCAUAGAAAGGUUCCUUUUCUGUUGUACUUGGUAGGCUGGUGCCAAAAUAGAGAGCUGCAUGCUGUCUUAUCGCCCCACCACUGUUCAGGAACGCCCAUUGCUGCAAAUCCACCUGCUAUGUCCUGCCCGUUGCCAAGUGUCCCAGGCCUGCAUAGCAGGACAUAAUGUUUCUACGCACUUGCACAACAAUGGCCCUAUGUUGCAUUUUCCAACUCUAAAAUGAUUUCUCAUUGACCAGUAGCAAUCUGGUAUUGCAAGCUUCCUGCGUGUGAUCACCACUGGCUUCUUCAUUGCUGAUGCAGCUCUCAUUCUGCUGUCCAUGCACUGAAGGUCUUGGGUGAACUCCGUGCAUAGAUCCAGUCAUAUGGCCUUGUGCAUCCCAAAGUUCUACAGCCACUGUGCAUUGUCCCAAACCUGCAUUAUGAUAUGAUUCUGCCAGUCAGUGCUUUUUUCUCAGGUCCAGAAGCAGCACUCCAUCAUCUGUAGCUGUUCUGUGAAUGCUACCAACAAUCUUGCAUUGUUCUUCACUAUGUCUCUCAGCAAACUAUCCUCAAAGAAAUUCUCAUGUUCCUGGUUAUUGUACUUCCUGAAGGUCUUCAAAUGCAGGGGAAGUGUGUGUCCUGUAUUUGCAACAUUCACGAGAACAGUAUAGAGCUUUGUGGACUCCGUGCUUCAGCCAGAGAUGGCAGAGACUGAGAAGUGUCAUGCAAGUUUGCAGGGGGAGGCGUUUGAAAAUUAUGGGCUCUGGAUGGCAGGAUGGGAUGGAGAAAGUUACCUGCUGGGAACUUGACCCCAGCAUUGCGCCAGAUGGCAGAGCAUGGCACAUUGGAAUACGUUCCCAUAGUGCAUUGCACUUUGCAUCGACACAAGUGUGCCUGACUAACAUGGCUACCACUCUGAAAUCUGUCACCAAAUAAUUCAGGAAUACAGUGCUGCAGAACACAAGGAAAAUGUGUGUCUUGACUUGGACUCAUUGCAUUUGCUAGAUCUGAGUAUCCUUUCACUGCGAACACUUCCACUGACUGGGCUCUCUUUGAGUGGGUUUUGAAGGGGACUUUCUGAGAAAAGGCUAAGCAUGCUGGAAAUAAAAACACUGAGAGGAAAUUCCUUUUCCUUCACACACUCUACACUAGCUGGAGCAGCAAGUUACAGUGCACAAUGUGAGACAUGCUGCAGUGCUGUGCACUUUGUAAUGAGAGCUGGCACUGAAACUCACUCUGAUCACUGACUUUUGUGUUCUCUCAUCGGAUAAGUUGCAGUAAAGGAAGCAAAGGUUGUCAUCAGCAGGCUCCAGCCUGAGCCUGAAUGUCUACGCUGCAGUUAAACAGCCCAUUAACGUGAGCCCCACAACUGUGAGUCAACUGGCAUGGACCCGCCCUGGGUGUUUAAUUGCCGUGUAGACAUUCCCAGGAUUCUGAAAGGAAAAUCUCUCCCAAGACAGUUAAUGUUGUUUUCUGUCUUUGCUUUAAGCACAUUUCACUCUCAUUCCUGCAAAAUGGGAGGAGGCGAGAAGGACAGCUUGUGCCAGCAAAACUUGUCAUUUUUCCCGAGAAACUCCUUUUCAUCACUUUUAUGUUGCUCACUUGCAGUGGAGUGAUUUCAUCCUGGGUAUAUCUCUGGCACUUUGCAGCAAAAGGCUGGGUAAGGCAUCGUUAUCAGUUCACUUCGUAGUCACUGGUCCCUGUGAUUCAGACCCAACCAAGAUCAUGACCCCAUUGUGCUAGACCCUGUACACACUUAGAGCCUAUAUGAGCUUGCUAGCAAAAUAGAAAAGGCAGACAAAGGUUACAAAAGGGAUCUAACAUACAAGCAGAGUGAAUAGUGUGAUGAUUGCAAAUGUCAGGCUCGCUCCACUAUCUUUUGUUCUUGUUGACUUGUUUCUUUUCUGUUUCUUUGGGUGAAGUCUUGCUGGGGAGGAAUUAGCAAAGCCGACAAAGGGAAAGAGCGAGAUGUUGAAGGGAAGAAAGGAAUGAAAAAGGAGGAAAGGAAUUGGAGGGUGGAAGGCAGGUGUGCAGUGAGGCUGAGGUGAAGGGACUGUGAAGAUGGGGAUGGGAGGGAGGUGGAGCAAACAGCCAGUCAGCAGAGAAGGGAGGCAUCUAUUUUGUGUAUAUGCCCAUAUUUUCGCUGCCCAAUCCCGUGUUUGU